AGACACCUAAAUUAGAUUGCGUAUAAACAGGAUAACCAACUUACAGCAACAUUGAGCAAGCCAAUGGCGGGGUAUUCUGUGAAGAUCCUUUUCAUUCUAUUCCUUUGUUUCAUAGUUAAUGCGGGUUCGUAGGUAUUAACCAUGGUUUCCAGGAUCUGCAUGAUGAUAAGUGAAAGAAAGUUAUGUCAGAAAUAUAAGAGGAUCACUGAACGCAUCCUCUUCUGUCCUCAGUUAAACAAUCGAUGCAAUGAUUAAAAUACAUUGACACGCAACGAAGGAUUUAUUAAUUAUGAUCGAACAAGUACCACCCAUAUCGGAUAUACUAAUGUAGAACAUACACUCCUCAGGAUCCUGGUUAUUAUUAAAAAAAAAACAAGGAUUGCAUACCGUCUCAACAGACAGUUGACGGCACGGCUCGCUCCAAGUUGUUAUAAACUGCUGCAACUUAUCGAAGCUGAUAGUAUGCUUAGGUGAGCCUUACUGUUUUUGCUUCUUCGUGGGCUGUUUAGACAAAGAGGAGCCCCGGGACCAAUUGGUCUUAUCACGCUUUCUGUCGCAGACGCGCCCUAGUGGCAUGAGACUCUCCCGCUCGUGGUCAGAA
RNAcentral lists this long non-coding RNA (601 nucleotides) under Brachypodium distachyon (stiff brome). RNAcentral's name for it is "long non-coding RNA (BDIS_LNC005046)". Lineage: Eukaryota; Viridiplantae; Streptophyta; Magnoliopsida; Poales; Poaceae. The record is from RNAcentral.